Scophthalmus maximus (turbot) is the source of this 2403-nucleotide long non-coding RNA. NCBI's taxonomy places the organism in Eukaryota, Metazoa, Chordata, Actinopteri, Pleuronectiformes, Scophthalmidae. The record is from Ensembl.
CUUGGAUGGAGAUGUUUUUUUGUACUCCUUUCCAGACAAGAAAAGCUUUGUAUAUCUGUAGCAUCCAUCUUUAGCAUUACAAAUCGAACAACACUCAAUUCUGCCCCUGUGUCGUUCCUUUUGUACCCAGUGCCACUGCAGCAGCCUAACAUCUCCCUGACAUCUCCCGACGGAGCAGGGCUGCUCUGGAGUGCGGAGGCUGCGGUGGUCACAAGGGGUCACGGCUUUGUCAUCACCUGCUCAAUUUCCAAACACUACCCCGGAGGUGUUUUCUCUCUCAUCUUCUUCGGCUCCAACAUCACUGACACCGAGCCUGCCGUCGACCACUCGGCCACCUUUGAGUUCCCCGUAGCUGGGUACCAACACCAGGGCAACUACAGCUGCGUGUACAAAGUCACGUUGUCCUCGAGGACAUUCACUUCUAUAGAGACAACAUCCAUUAGUGUCAUCAUUAAAUUGUGUGUUUUCUCUCUUAGCGCCUCUGCUGCGGCCGCUGCUCUCCUCGUUGGCUCCUGGGGGCCUGGUGCUGCUCCUGUGGGUCCUGGCGCUGAUCUGUCUGGUCCACAAGAGACGACGACAAGCGAUGUCGCCUGCAGUCGCCCACUUCGCUCAAUGUCCGUGCUCUCCAGGACAACACUGUACAUUACAUGAAACUGCAGCUUGUUUGUUUCAAGACACACUUUAACAUAAGUGUUUGGGUUCAACUGUGUGAUUUUUCUUGAAUUGAUUCUCGUGUUCGUGACAGAUUUUCUCUUUCCCUGCAUGUGUCCAGGUGCUGUCAGGAAUCACCGUGUGGCCUGUGAGGAGGAGGAGGAGGAGCACUAUGUGAACUUCACGCCAGUGCAGUACAAGGAGAGGCAGAGGAAGCCAACGAGGGCGCUGAUGGAUGAAGAUCGUGAUAAAGAAAAGGAGAGAAAAGAAGAGGAGAGUGCUGAGUAUGAGGGAGAGCAGAACCACGGAGACCUUCCAGAGAUCCAUGGAGGACAAGAAGACAUUUAUGAAACAUUUUAGUUUCUCCAGUAGAACAAUAGCACAGGGAUUAAUUGACUCACUGAAAGCAUUUCAACACCUGUUUGUUGCCAGAUUAACAGCAAUAUUUGGGAACUUUGCCAUAUAUUUACUUUUCUCAUUAAAAAAUAUAUCACAGAUAGUGUCACUGUUAACAUUUAACACUUAGAUUCAACACUGAGCUUUAAAUUUGACAUAUGCUGUAGGUUGGAAUUUAAUAUUUAGAUUUGACAUUGACAUUUUCUUUAAUAUAUAUUCUAUUUAUGGAUAAAUAUGACAAAGUUCAUAAAUGUCGCUGCAAAUCUGGUGAAAGAGUGACUUCAAAAUUUCCCACCACUAUUUGAGGUAAAAUUAUGGCAAAAUGUUACGGUAAUUUUUAGCGCGCGAUGCUUUACAAUCAAUCAUAUUUUAGUGACAUCCCACAAUGCACAUAUGAAAUAACUUCCUGUCUGUAAAAAUCUAUGAGGAAAUAAGAAAACAUUAUGUUAAUUCAUUUUUCUUUUCAUAUAGUAUCAACUUACUAUCAUAGUAAAGAAGUCGAGUAUUCUUUGUGCAUGCCACUUAGAGAUACCAUGACAUAAUAAAAAAUAAAAGAAACGGUGACCAGUGUUAAAACUAUAUAUAUAAACACACUGCAUCAGCUUAUUUGUUUAUAACUGUGGUAUACUUAAAUCUACAGUGUUCAAUAUUUAGAAGAACGUAUUUACAGAUAUUAAAUAUAUUGUCCAUGAUUGUGUGUUCAUAUAUGUAUAAUCACCCCGGCAACAAAAAAACCAAUAUUUUUUCGUCAAUUUUGAAUGAGUUAAAUAUAGUAACAUGAGGUGGACCCGACCUCCGUGUAAAUCACCAUGUUUGCUAAGUCGUGUUGCCGACUUCAGGGGUCCCGGUUCCGAGGUAUAAUGAAACGCAGCAUUAAAUACAGUUGCAGGAAACAGUCCCGAAUACGUCGCAUUCGUGUUGAAUUUCCAGCGCUGCUGGAAACCGGAAAUGGAAUUAGCGGUGCGCCACCAUAAAGUGUCCCCUGUCGGAUGCUCACUUAGUUGCUGUUUGCAACUUUACCACCAGAUGCCGCCAGAAAAGUGCAAACACGGUGUGUGUACCUGAAUAAGUUGUGUGAAUGAUAGUUCCUCUGCUUAUAGGAAGCUGCAACUCCUCAGUUGGUUGUUAAAAUGGGAAAUCCCUUUGAGGCGUUGACGUAAAGUGUGUCUCAUACGUAUGCACUAUUAUGUAUAAUGUGUUGUAUGAUGAACAAUAAAAUAUGUUUGCGGUCUGACAGUAAAGUUGUUCCUCAUACUACAAGCGCUGCUGGAGUUUUGAUCACCACAUACCAGAGACGUCCAGUUGCCUUCGUGAAGGCCGAGCACAUGUAUCAUUCAUCAUGACCUGGAUGACAUU